CAUCAACUUUUUGUUGCAAUACUGGGGUGCGAUUCACUAACGCAAAACAUCUUUACAACCAAGAAAUCAUCGUUGUAACAUCAGAUGAAAAGUAGGCGGUAUUCAUUAGUUAAAAAUGCGCGAUCGUAGCGCCUCAACGAUGUUGACGGCGUGACAUAGAACUAACAUUUGGUGCCAAAUGUAUGAAAAUCGGUAUUCAGCAACACGAAACAUCCUCGCCUGCAACGACAACCUCGCCUUCGCCCUCGAUUUUAUCUGUCAAACCGAAAAGCUUGUAAAUUGUGGAUGUUUUCUUGGAUGAAGGCGAUUAAAAUAUGGCAGUUCGUCUUUCCUGUAUGAUUUUUUUGUUGGAAGAAACUAAACAUCAAGAUAAUUAAAUAAAUAAGAAGUCAGGCCUCCGUGAUACGUAUUAUGGAUUUACUAACUACUGAUAGAAACUAUAUUAAGGUUGACUGAAGAACAGAUUAGACAGUGGAAAGAAGAUUUCUCCUUUCCUAACAAAGGCGAAUCGUUAAGGAGGAAUUAGCAACCACACUAAUAUAUUACACUUAAUCGAUAUAAUAUAAAUCAUCAUACAGUACAGUGGAUAGGUGCCUAAAACUUACUGUCCAUCAACCUUUUGUAUGUACUGUCAAUUUUUUGGUUAGUGGGAUUUAUGUACCAGAUAAUGCUAUGUGACAUUGCAAGAACAAUGGCUCACAGGCAUCUGC
This is a long non-coding RNA of Helicoverpa armigera (cotton bollworm), 710 nucleotides long. RefSeq lists it as uncharacterized. The transcript has 2 exons. The record is from RefSeq and is a predicted model, not a curated record. NCBI's taxonomy places the organism in Eukaryota, Metazoa, Arthropoda, Insecta, Lepidoptera, Noctuidae.